UUUGCGUGAACAUAGACACAUUUAUGUAGAUCGGGGGCACAUUCCCUUAAAAAACAAAUGUAAAACACUUCAAGCAAAUGUCUUCAGCGGCUCAGAUGUCAGGAGUAAAUGAUACAUUUUCAGUGAUUAAAAGCUCACUGGAGGGGAAGGUUUCAGUGAAUAACAGCUUAAAUUGCAUUUUGUCACUCAAAGCUAAGACUUAUGAAGAUAUAAUAUAAUGCAUGACUCCAGUCCCCUUUCAUUAUAAUUAUAAAAAAAGGAGUAAAUGGUACUCUAUUAAAAAGAAAAAAUGAAUACCAAAACAUGAAUUUAGACAUGAGUAAAUUUUCAUUUCUGGCUGAAAUAUUCCUUUUAAUCUUCAGCACAUAUGUCUUUAAAAUCCUAAUUAUUAGAUUAAUUUGUUCCAGUCUUAAUUUGCUUCUGUCAAAAUAUUGUACAAAGUACACCCCUUCUGAGUCUUUCCAUUUGAGGGGGCAUAAACAUCGAGACAUUCAGGGAUAGACUGAUGACAGUGAGUUGGCCAGUAGAAAGGCUUUUUGCGGUCACUUGUUCUCACUGGAGCUUGUUAUGAUAGAACAGCUUGGCAGUUUGUGCCAUCUGAAAUUCCUCUGCGUGUGAAUAAAAGUAGGUGUUGACGAGUGGGCCCGUAAUAUAUAAAAAUGUACCAUCACACUACAACGGACGAGAAAGAAGUGGAAGCCCAUUCUUUUGGAAAAGUUUGUACAGUUAGUGAUAAAGAUAGAGUCACUGAUGAGCUGUCUUUGCAAAACAACUAUAAACUAUAAACACAGAGACACAAAAUACAUCUGUUUAAGAAAAUGUUGCCUCAAAAGAACUAUACAUUUUCAUGAAAACAAGUAGUUUUGUUAAUACGGUUAAUACUGUUUGCUGCUGAUAAAUUGACUUUUUAUCAUUUUUUAAAUGAAUACACGUAAAUGCACAAAAAUAAUCACUAAUUAAUUAUUUAAAGGGAUCGUUCAUCUGAAAAUUAAAAUUCUGUUAUGCUCACUCUUGUAUUUCCAAACCUGUAUGACUUUGUUUAUUCUGUAGAACACAAAAGAAGAGCUGUUGUCCUUAUAAUGAAAGUCAUAGGGUCAACAGAGCACUGGACCCCAUUGACCUUAACUAUAUGGUCAAAACUUUUUAAAAUUGUUAAAUAUAAAUAUAAAUUCUGUGUUCCACAGAAGAAAGAUAUCUUGAGGUCAACCAUCCCUAUUAUAUUUGGAUCUGUGUCCUGACCCCUUAAAGUGACAGUUCACCCAAAAA
Cyprinus carpio (common carp) is the source of this 1266-nucleotide long non-coding RNA. RefSeq lists it as uncharacterized. The transcript is spliced from 2 exons. Lineage: Eukaryota; Metazoa; Chordata; Actinopteri; Cypriniformes; Cyprinidae. The record is from RefSeq and is a predicted model, not a curated record.